AGGACGAACGCUGGCGGCGUGCUUAACACAUGCAAGUCGAGCGAUGAUACUUCUUCGGAAGUUGAUUAGCGGCGGACGGGUGAGUAACACGUGGGCAACCUGCCCUAUAGAGGGGAAUAGCCUUCCGAAAGGAAGAUUAAUACCCCAUAAGAUUGUAGUUUCACAUGGAACAGCAAUUAAAGGAGUAAUCCGCUAUAGGAUGGGCCCGCGUCGCAUUAGCUAGUUGGUGAGGUAACGGCUCACCAAGGCGACGAUGCGUAGCCGACCUGAGAGGGUGAUCGGCCUCAUUGGGACUGAGACACGGCCCAGACUCCUACGGGAGGCAGCAGUGGGGAAUAUUGCACAAUGGGGGAAACCCUGAUGCAGCAACGCCGCGUGAGUGAUGAAGGCCUUCGGGUUGUAAAGCUCUGUCUUUGGGGACGAUAAUGACGGUACCCAAGGAGGAAGCCACGGCUAACUACGUGCCAGCAGCCGCGGUAAUACGUAGGUGGCAAGCGUUGUCCGGAUUUACUGGGCGUAAAGGGAGCGUAGGCGGACUUUUAAGUGGGAUGUGAAAUACUCGGGCUUAACCUGAGUGCUGCAUUCCAAACUGGAAGUCUAGAGUGCAGGAGGGGAAAGUGGAAUUCCUAGUGUAGCGGUGAAAUGCGUAGAUAUUAGGAAGAACGCCGGUGGCGAAGGCGACUUUCUGGACUGUAACUGACGCUGAGGCUCGAAAGCGUGGGGAGCGAACAGGAUUAGAUACCCUGGUAGUCCACGCCGUAACGAUGAAUACUAGCCGUUGGUCCUAUUUACAGGAUUAGUGGCGCAGCUAACGCAUUAAGUUGACCGCCUGGGGAGUACGCCGCAGGUAA
This 851-nucleotide ribosomal RNA is filed under the name uncultured bacterium. Its description in RNAcentral is "bacterial SSU rRNA". It matches the Rfam family "Bacterial small subunit ribosomal RNA", at positions 26 to 897 of the family's 1533-position model. The record is from RNAcentral.